AGACCUGGACCUAUGCAACUGCAACGCCCAAACUUUGUCAGGACCUGACGGUAGCAGCAAUACGGGAUGCUUGCAGUAGGCGUAGACUCCGGGUCGCCCU
This 100-nucleotide signal recognition particle RNA is filed under the name Rivularia sp. PCC 7116. RNAcentral describes it as "Bacterial signal recognition particle RNA". It matches the Rfam family "Bacterial small signal recognition particle RNA". From Rfam's summary of the family: The signal recognition particle (SRP) is a universally conserved ribonucleoprotein involved in the co-translational targeting of proteins to membranes. Archaeal SRP consists of a 7S RNA and homologues of the eukaryotic SRP19 and SRP54 proteins. Lineage: Bacteria; Bacillati; Cyanobacteriota; Cyanophyceae; Nostocales; Rivulariaceae. The record is from RNAcentral.